GCAGUCGAACGGUGAACACGGAGCUUGCUCUGUGGGAUCAGUGGCGAACGGGUGAGUAACACGUGAGCAACCUGCCCCUGACUCUGGGAUAAGCGCUGGAAACGGCGUCUAAUACUGGAUACGAACCAUGAAGGCAUCUUCAGUGGUUGGAAAGAUUUAUUGGUUGGGGAUGGGCUCGCGGCCUAUCAGCUUGUUGGUGAGGUAAUGGCUCACCAAGGCGUCGACGGGUAGCCGGCCUGAGAGGGUGACCGGCCACACUGGGACUGAGACACGGCCCAGACUCCUACGGGAGGCAGCAGUGGGGAAUAUUGCACAAUGGGCGCAAGCCUGAUGCAGCAACGCCGCGUGAGGGAUGACGGCCUUCGGGUUGUAAACCUCUUUUAGCAGGGAAGAAGCGAAAGUGACGGUACCUGCAGAAAAAGCGCCGGCUAACUACGUGCCAGCAGCCGCGGUAAUACGUAGGGCGCAAGCGUUAUCCGGAAUUAUUGGGCGUAAAGAGCUCGUAGGCGGUUUGUCGCGUCUGCUGUGAAAUCCGGAGGCUCAACCUCCGGCCUGCAGUGGGUACGGGCAGACUAGAGUGCGGUAGGGGAGAUUGGAAUUCCUGGUGUAGCGGUGGAAUGCGCAGAUAUCAGGAGGAACACCGAUGGCGAAGGCAGAUCUCUGGGCCGUAACUGACGCUGAGGAGCGAAAGGGUGGGGAGCAAACAGGCUUAGAUACCCUGGUAGUCCACCCCGUAAACGUUGGGAACUAGUUGUGGGGUCCAUUCCACGGAUUCCGUGACGCAGCUAACGCAUUAAGUUCCCCGCCUGGGGAGUACGGCCG
This 822-nucleotide ribosomal RNA is filed under the name Microbacterium sp. TCA2-12_Pa. Its description in RNAcentral is "bacterial SSU rRNA". It matches the Rfam family "Bacterial small subunit ribosomal RNA", at positions 57 to 888 of the family's 1533-position model. Lineage: Bacteria; Bacillati; Actinomycetota; Actinomycetes; Micrococcales; Microbacteriaceae. The record is from RNAcentral.